GUAGSGUGCGAGCGUUGUCCGGAAUUAUUGGGCGUAAAGAGCUCGUASGUGGUCCGUUACGUCUGCUGUGAAAACUCGGGGCUCAACCCCGAGCCUGCAGUGGAUACGGGCGGGCUAGAGUGCGGUAGGGGAGACUGGAAUUCCUGGUGUAGCGGUGAAAUGCGCAGAUAUCAGGAGGAACACCGGUGGCGAAGGCGGGUCUCUGGACCGAUACUGACACUGAGGAGCGAAAGCGUGGGGAGCGAACAGGAUUAGAUACCCUGGUAGUCCACGCCGUAAACGUUGGGCGCUAGGUGUGGGGAACUUUCCACGUUCUCCGUGCCGCAGCUAACGCAUUAAGCGCCCCGCCUGGGGAGUACGGCCGCAAGGCUA
This 372-nucleotide ribosomal RNA is filed under the name uncultured bacterium. RNAcentral describes it as "bacterial SSU rRNA". It matches the Rfam family "Bacterial small subunit ribosomal RNA", at positions 527 to 896 of the family's 1533-position model. The record is from RNAcentral.